GAUGAACGCUGGCGGCGUGCCUCAAACAUGCAAGUCGAGCGGGGCUAUGUAAUAUCGCAAGGUAGAACAUAGCCUAGCGGCGAACGGGUGAGUAACACGUGGGUAACCUGCCUGGAAGACAGGGAUAACGAUUCGAAAGGGUCGCUAAUACCUGAUAAUAUCCUUUCAUCGCAUGGUGAUAGGAAGAAAGGGGAAACCCGCUUUCAGAUGGGCCCGCGUCCCAUCAGCUAGUUGGUAAGGUAAAGGCUUACCAAGGCGACGACGGGUAGCCGGUCUGAGAGGAUGUACGGCCACACUGGGACUGAGAUACGGCCCAGACUCCUACGGGAGGCAGCAGUUGGGAAUCUUAGGCAAUGGACGAAAGUCUGACCUAGCGACGCCGCGUGAGGGAAGAAGGCCUUCGGGUUGUAAACCUCUGUCAUGGGGGAAGAGUAAGUGACGGUACCCAAGAGGAAGCCCCUGCUAACUACGUGCCAGCAGCCGCGGUAAAAACCCCGACGUACUGU
This 506-nucleotide ribosomal RNA is filed under the name uncultured bacterium. RNAcentral's name for it is "bacterial SSU rRNA". It matches the Rfam family "Bacterial small subunit ribosomal RNA", at positions 28 to 536 of the family's 1533-position model. The record is from RNAcentral.